RNAcentral lists this unclassified non-coding RNA (341 nucleotides) under fungal sp. Its description in RNAcentral is "partial internal transcribed spacer region". The stretch from base 1 to 46 matches the Rfam family "Eukaryotic small subunit ribosomal RNA", at positions 1786 to 1831 of the family's 1831-position model. The record is from RNAcentral. Lineage: Eukaryota; Fungi.
AAGUCGUAACAAGGUUUCCGUAGGUGAACCUGCGGAAGGAUCAUUAACACGUAUCCAACGUUAAAACAACCCUGUGAACUUUUAGUGUGCUCGUACGCUUUGUUAGAAAUAGCCGAAGGUUUUCGAUUCAGGAUCUGCAGAGAGUGUGCUUGGAGCGCGAGGUAAGUGGCCUGGCAUCCCCAAGUGUCAGGCGCAGUCACGAUCGCUGGAGCCCACACGGCCGGCGACCGGGUCACUGGGCUCUGCCCCCCUAUCACCCCCGACUGCCCGCACGAAGGGACCGACGCCCACGCCCAGUAAGCGAAAACGAACAACUGUUAACAAUGGAUAUCUUGGUUCUC